GUGGGGAAUUUUGGACAAUGGGCGCAAGCCUGAUCCAGCAAUGCCGCGUGUGUGAAGAAGGCCUUCGGGUUGUAAAGCACUUUUGUCCGGAAAGAAAUCUCCUGGGUUAAUACCUCGGGGGGAUGACGGUACCGGAAGAAUAAGCACCGGCUAACUACGUGCCAGCAGCCGCGGUAAUACGUAGGGUGCGAGCGUUAAUCGGAAUUACUGGGCGUAAAGCGUGCGCAGGCGGCUAUGUAAGUCAGAUGUGAAAUCCCCGGGCUCAACCUGGGAACUGCAUUUGUGACUGCAUGGCUAGAGUGCGUCGGAGGGAGGUGGAAUUCCGCGUGUAGCAGUGAAAUGCGUAGAGAUGCGGAGGAACACCGAUGGCGAAGGCAGCCUCCUGGGAUGACACUGACGCUCAUGCACGAAAGCGUGGGGAGCAAACAGGAUUAGAUACCCUGGUAGUCC
This 450-nucleotide ribosomal RNA is filed under the name uncultured bacterium. RNAcentral describes it as "partial 16S ribosomal RNA". It matches the Rfam family "Bacterial small subunit ribosomal RNA", at positions 354 to 796 of the family's 1533-position model. The record is from RNAcentral.